This 311-nucleotide long non-coding RNA is filed under the name Hordeum vulgare. RNAcentral's name for it is "long non-coding RNA (HVUL_LNC017344)". Lineage: Eukaryota; Viridiplantae; Streptophyta; Magnoliopsida; Poales; Poaceae. The record is from RNAcentral.
CAUAUGUAGUUCUUUAUUAAAUCUAUAAAAAGACUUACAUUUAGGAACGGAGGGAGUACAUGUAGGAUCUCAUGGGUCCGAUUCAGUGAAGCAAAAUGCGUCAGUUUUUUCUUUUAAGAUAGCAUCUUGGCCUCUAUAUCAGUUGAUGCAAACAUCACUGCAUGGAUUAUCGCACAGUUUGCAGGAUUCAAGCGUGAGAAGGUGUGGUUUUUUAGUUUCUACUGUGACGGCUCCAUAAUGAUUGUUGAACAUAUAGUUUGCAUUUAUAUGUGUAUGGUCCGGCCUAUCUCCUAGGCUUUGUAUAAUCGAGG